RNAcentral lists this ribosomal RNA (253 nucleotides) under uncultured bacterium. Its description in RNAcentral is "partial 16S ribosomal RNA". It matches the Rfam family "Bacterial small subunit ribosomal RNA", at positions 524 to 776 of the family's 1533-position model. The record is from RNAcentral.
UACGUAGGUGGCAAGCGUUGUCCGGAAUUAUUGGGCGUAAAGCGCGCGCAGGCGGUCCUUUAAGUCUGAUGUGAAAGCCCACGGCUCAACCGUGGAGGGUCAUUGGAAACCGGGGGACUUGAGUGCAGGAGAGAAGAGUGGAAUUCCACGUGUAGCGGUGAAAUGCGUAGAGAUGUGGAGGAACACCAGUGGCGAAGGCGACUCUUUGGCCUGUAACUGACGCUGAGGCGCGAAAGCGUGGGGAGCGAACAGG